CAGCAGCCGCGGUAAUACAGAGGGUGCGAGCGUUAAUCGGAUUUACUGGGCGUAAAGCGUGCGUAGGCGGCUUCUUAAGUCGGAUGUGGAAUCCCUGAGCUUAACUUAGGAAUUGCAUUCGAUACUGGGAAGCUAGAGUAUGGGAGAGGAUGGUAGAAUUCCAGGUGUAGCGGUGAAAUGCGUAGAGAUCUGGAGGAAUACCGAUGGCGAAGGCAGCCAUCUGGCCUAAUACUGACGCUGAGGUACGAAAGCAUGGGGAGCAAACAGGAUUAGAUACCCCCGUAGUCCCUGUCUCUUAUAC
This 301-nucleotide ribosomal RNA is filed under the name uncultured bacterium. Its description in RNAcentral is "partial 16S ribosomal RNA". It matches the Rfam family "Bacterial small subunit ribosomal RNA", at positions 509 to 807 of the family's 1533-position model. The record is from RNAcentral.